AAUAGAUACCCCGGUAGUCCACGCCGUAAACGAUGAGUGCUAAGUGUUAGAGGGUUUCCGCCCUUUAGUGCUGAAGUUAACGCAUUAAGCACUCCGCCUGGGGAGUACGGCCGCAAGGCUGAAACUCAAAGGAAUUGACGGGGGCCCGCACAAGCGGUGGAGCAUGUGGUUUAAUUCGAAGCAACGCGAAGAACCUUACCAGGUCUUGACAUCCUCUGACAACCCUAGAGAUAGGGCUUCUCCUUCGGGAGCAGAGUGACAGGUGGUGCAUGGUUGUCGUCAGCUCGUGUCGUGAGAUGUUGGGUUAAGUCCCGCAACGAGCGCAACCCUUGAUCUUAGUUGCCAUCAUUUAGUUGGGCACUCUAAGGUGACUGCCGGUGACAAACCGGAGGAAGGUGGGGAUGACGUCAAAUCAUCAUGCCCCUUAUGACCUGGGCUACACACGUGCUACAAUGGACGGUACAAAGAGCUGCAAGACCGCGAGGUGGAGCUAAUCUCAUAAAACCCGUUCUCAGUUCGGAUUGUAGG
This 528-nucleotide ribosomal RNA is filed under the name uncultured bacterium. RNAcentral describes it as "bacterial SSU rRNA". It matches the Rfam family "Bacterial small subunit ribosomal RNA", at positions 777 to 1304 of the family's 1533-position model. The record is from RNAcentral.